Molecule: ribosomal RNA, 478 nt
Filed under: uncultured bacterium
Lineage: Bacteria
Description: bacterial SSU rRNA
Rfam family: Bacterial small subunit ribosomal RNA
Source: RNAcentral
GACGAACGCUGGCGGCGUGCUUAACACAUGCAAGUCGAACGGAACUCUCUGGAUCAAGACUUCGGUCAAGUGAAUUUGAGUUUAGUGGCGGACGGGUGAGUAACGCGUGAGGAACCUGCCUUUCAGAGGGGGACAACAGUUGGAAACGACUGCUAAUACCGCAUAACGCAUAGAGAUCGCAUGGUCUUUAUGCCAAAGAUUUAUCGCUGAAAGAUGGCCUCGCGUCUGAUUGGCUAGUUGGUGAGGUAACGGCCCACCAAGGCGACGAUCAGUAGCCGGACUGAGAGGUUGACCGGCCACAUUGGGACUGAGAUACGGCCCAGACUCCUACGGGAGGCAGCAGUGGGGAAUAUUGGGCAAUGGGCGCAAGCCUGACCCAGCAACGCCGCGUGAAGGAAGAAGGCUUUCGGGUUGUAAACUUCUUUGUCAGGGAGAGUAGAAGACUGUACCUGACGAAUAAGCCACGGCUAACUACGUG